AGCAAAUGUUUUAUUUAAUAAGUUAUAAGAUACAAUUUACAGUCGGCGUUUGAUUCCAGUUUGGCUUCCGUGUCCCAGCUUACAACACCCGUGGUCCUUUCACAUCAGGCUCCGGGCUGUUCCACUUUCUGUAGGGUGGGCUUUUACCCCCAACACUCGCCCCAGAUACUACACCUGCCACAAGAGUGGCCACUUCCUCAGGACUAAGCAGCAAAACCUAAAGGUCUGCCUGCCCAGACCACACUACACAUUUGGGCUCAGGCAACGUCCCUGACACUUUAACCUCAUUCCAAAGCCAGCUCAGGUCUGCAGGAAGGCAGGCAAAAUUCCCUACACCUCAUUUCUGGAUUUCUGCACCACACAGCUCUCACUGUUUCUGCCAAUGGUGAAAAGACCACCAAUAAGCUGCUGCCCUUCUCUCCCCCAACCAUUCCCAACUUUCAGGCCAAAGACCCGCAGGAGUUUCAUUCUGUCCUGUCUGUACAGAUCAUUAUUUUCCAGAAAAAGUGACCCAUGAAGUUGGCUGGGGCGGGUGUGGAGUGUUAUGUCAUGGGACGGACCUUGGGAUGAGGGCGUUAAUCCAUGGGCCCCUCUGAGAUCACUUUAAACAUUUUGGUAAGACUGCCCAGGCUGAUGAAGGGCUGGAGCGUGUGUUAAAAACAAGGGCUAGUGUUGGUUAAAAGGGAUCUUUGGCAAGUGGGAAACUGCUCGCCACUGCAGAAUUUCUUCAGACCAAGGAAGGGACUGAAACGGACUUGGAAAACUAAAGCAAAACCAUGACUGCCGGGAUGGUCUCGUGUGGUGAUUCUGCAAGAAAUAAUCACCAGAGCGAGGGGACAGGUACUUGAGAGACAUGUGGGCCUGGCUGCCACUCUGCCCUCUGAGUUUCUGUAGGGUGCCCGGCUGCCACUCUGCCCUCUGAGAAGUGUAAGAAGGCCACAGAGCAUGGGGGUGUUGGCGAUGAGGAGCGGUAAAGCAGUGCUAGUGAUCUAAUAGCCAAAUACAUUAACACGGACACUGGAAGAGAUUAAGCGGAUUUUAAGUCAUCUCCUUUGCCAAAUGACAACCAAACUAGGUGUCCCCUUUUUCUCUGCCCAUCUUCCCCUAGCCUUGUUUCAUAAAUGCUGAAGAGUGAACCAGCAGCUCAGGCUAGCCAGUUUUGUUUUUUUGAAAUGUCAGUCUCAUUGUGUUCCUGGUCUGUCUGCUGCAGUGGCUGGUCUGUUCCACCAAGAGUUCUGGUUUGCACCUAGUGUACUCAGGAUCUUCUCAGCCCCCUGAACAAGCUUGCAUUUCUUAAGAUUCUCCAAUAUGUCCCUCAAGAGUCCAGUCUAGGACUUAUUUCUGAAGGCAUUUUACAACAGCAAUAUUUUAGGGAUGGGGUUUCAGCCCCACAAACAGGCUGGAGGGCUUUGUAUAAAAUGAAUUACAAACAAGCAACAAAAGCAACCACAAGAACUCUCUCCAGGAUUUGAGAAAACUGUUUUAAGGCACUGUGACAUGAAAAGGGCUGCCAGGGAUGUGUUCCUCCCCCCACUUCACAGCCAGCACAUAAUCGCCCCUCUCCUUGACGACGUAUGUGACGUUGUAUUGCUGGUUGCCUACAUGCUUCAUGGAGACCUCCUCGCAGGGGGUGGUGGGCCCAUGGACCCCGAUCAGCAGCAUGUUGGAGCCUAGGAGGCAAAAGGUGGUUACUCCACCCGGAUGCAUCAGGACAGGCACAGGAAGAAGAGGAAAUAUGAGAGCCAAAGGAAAGGAAGCAGAGGCACAGUGAAGUCAGAUAAUUCAUCUGGAGUCACACAGCUGGGGACCAGCAGAACUGGGAUUUAAACAUAAAGUCUGUCCAACUUGGAGCUAAAGCACUUACCUGAGAGAAGAUGGAAGGAAAAAAAUCCACAAGCAGAAGUCUCUCACCACUGCCUCUAGCUAUAACCUGUAUCUGACACCACAAAACAUCUCUGGGCGUGGCGGUCUUCCCCCACCCCCUCAAAUAUGUCCAGCUCAGUUCCUGUGAGUUUAAUGCAUGUUAAACGCAGCACUGCUUGUUCUUCAAGGCAGUUAAGGAAGGAGGCCCUUCUGGUAUACCCCGAGCACACUGGGGUUCCUGGACCAUUUCAUUAGGAAAAUUGCUCAGCGGCUCCAAAGAAUCUGGAGCUCCCUGGUCUAUCUCCCAGCCUCUCAAGCCGCCUCCAGCAGGGUCCCGCCCCAAAUUCUCCACAUUCCCCUACUCCAAAAUCUACAGAAUGGACCAUUUAAAGCUUGAGCCAAGAGAUACAGCAAACUCACCCAUUAAAAACAGAGGGAGGUUUGCUUUGUUCAGAAGGUCAGGAUACUGGGCGCUCUGGCGGCCAAGCACAGAUACCUUUUCAUUCCAUGCACACUGCAGCUGUGUAAUCUCAGAAUGGAUAUUUAGGGAAAGGCUUGGGAGCAGGAGGGCUGGAAAAACAAGGCGCCUUCCCUGUGACAAGAGCAAUAUUUACACAGGGUUUGAAGCAGGCGGUUCUGUACCUCUCCCCUCCUGGCUAGGAGCUUCCCUGCAAGAGCAACUCCUUCUCUCAGCAGCGUCCAGCACUUGCAGAGCACAGCCUGAAACCCAAGCUCCCAAAAAGGUGUGCGAACAGCCAAAAGGAAAUGGGAGAGGGCCCAGGCACAGCGGCAUGAGCCAGCAGGAGGGUGAGAUGCUUCCUGGCCAGUGUGGGAGACCCCAGCAGCUGCUGUGAGGCCUGGCCUGAAGCCUGCCACGCGCUCCAAGUGCCGAGAGGACCCCACCUGGGCCCUCAAAGGUGAGUACCUUGUCAGGGCCCAAGUGCCAGCACUGCUGCCUGGAAAGUACUCCUGAGUGGCUGGGAGGACAGGGGUCCUGGUUUAGGACAUCCCCAAAGUGGGCUGGGGAUGCAGUCACUGCCUCUGGGUGAGCCAGCCACUUAGAGAGGGGGCCAAGCUCGGGGGUUCAGCGCAUAGGCUCUGAGGUCACGGAUGUAGACUGAUUCCUGGUUCUGCCUCCUCCCAGCUGACUGCUUUUUGGGGGAGUGUUGUUUGGGGAGUGACUCAACCUCUGCAUCUCACUUUCCACAUCUGUAAAAUGGACAUCACUUACGGUAAAAUGAUACCAUGCCUUUCACAAAAGGCAAGCCGCAGGCCCAGAGUUCAGCGUGGAGCCGGGCUGGAUUUGCCUGGGGAGUCUGGCAGCACUCACACCACCCCUGUGGGUGGCUUUGCUGAGGCCACUGCUUUGGCCAGAGUCCCGGGCAGCCUGCCAGCCCACCAGUCACUCCUGCACCCGGAGAGGGCCCCUUGGCCACACAGGUCACUUGCUCCUAGGGCUGGAUGCCAGGCAACCAUGCAGCCACUCACCCCUCACCCCUGGGAGGCAAGUCUGCUCCAUCCCACUCUCCUUAUGCGGGGUGGGGGUACACACACAAGAGACUCAAGAAACCAGGACAUACUGCUUUCCCAAGAGGGUCCAAAGUAACACCAAAUGCAAACAUGCCCCAGUGAGUCCACACUGCGCACUUCCCCUGCAAAGACUAAGGACUGACUCUCCACCCUGGCAGCCUCCAUAACAGUGACGCACUCACUGCGCACCACCCGAUGCCACCUGUUCAAAUAACUGCGAUUCACAGCAGGAAUUCUCACUACAGCCAGGAAAAGGAGGGGAAGAUCUGUUCUGACAUGGAAAGAUCUUUAAGAUGUCAAAGCAAAAACACAAGCUAUACCACACAGUGGAUACAGUAAGAUUCUUUCUGUAAGACAAAAGCAAAACUCUGUGUCUGCUUGUCUAAUGAACCAAUUAGCUAACCAACCCAGCAACCAAGAAUGAAGACAGACAAUGAGAUGACAGACAGGGUGAAGGUCCUCCCUUCCCAGAGCCGUUUGCUUCCAGACCCAGGUGGGGGAGGAGGAGAGAAGAUGGAGUGAGUCUCACUUUAUUUACUUCUUCACUGCCUGUAUCUUUCAUAAUCAAACAUGUCCCAUCUGUGGCAAAGAAUAAAAGUAAAUUGUAACGGGUCUAAAAAGCUUCAGAAUUCUUUGAACAUUUCAGUCUUUUCUCCUCCUCCAUUAAGAUCUGAGAGUAAAAAGAGGAGGAGAUAGGCUGGGACAGGUCUUAUUGCUGCUUCAGUGCAUUUCUGGGAGCCUGGUACCAUGAAAGAACAGACGGGUAGGAGCCCACUUGGACGCAUCAUGAAUUCUGUGCAGGCAAAGAAACCCUCAAAAUUAAUGACACUGUGCUGUGUUCCCUGACUAUCAGCAUCCUGUUCUGAAAGUCAAGAAACUUGGCAGAGGAAGGAAUCUGAAUCACAACUAACAGUAAUGAGGUGUGAUAACACGGCCAUCGAGCUCUCACUCUGGAUUUAUCGUGGGUCAAACCGCAACUCCCAAAACAGCUUUGGACAGCAAGCGCCUCCGAAGUGUGCAUGACCCCAGUUUCCACGGGGAGUACGUGUAAAAAGCUUUCAUGGGGCUUGAGGAUUUCCAUCUGGCUUGGUCCCUGGAGCUGGUUCAGUUAAGGCUUCAAGAAGCAGAAGAGUGGGUUACCUGUGGUGCCCCCUUCGAGUCCCGUGCCAUAGGCGGACACCAGGGCAGGGUUCCCCGCUUGUCCAGGCUCCCCAACGCGCACUUUGAAGGGGCUUCCAACCACGUGGCUCCCAUUGAACUUGACAUCGAUGGUGUGGACACCAUUCUCAUGAGGGAUGAAGCGAACAGCAUACUUAUCUAGGAGAAUGAGCAAAGGCACAGGGUGAAAUCAAGCAAAUGGACACCCCUGAGUUCAGUGAGGAUAAAGGAUGGAGGCCAAGCUGAGAUGGCCCAUUUAAAAUCAACAGUUCUACAGGGAGCCUGGCACUCAGCAUCCUGGAUUUCAGAACCAGACAGACCCCCUGGGUAUCCCUCAUCAGCCCCAAGGGAAACGCAUCCACAUUGCAAAUCCUAUAAACACAGGACAAGACUCUGACCCCUGCCUCAGAAGAACACUUCCUUUCUUUAGAAAACCUCACUUCUUCAGUGUGAAAUUCUGUGAAUGCUGUUACUAAUCCUGUCACGAGAUGAAUCUCAUUUCACCAAAAUUAAAUUAUGUUUUUCCACUAAAAUGAUGAUACAAGUUGAAGACACAGCACUCUGAAAUUGGAAGACCUCACCACUUAAGGCUCCGCAGCGGCUUACUCAGCUGAACUCCAGGUUACUA
RNAcentral lists this long non-coding RNA (5179 nucleotides) under Homo sapiens (human). RNAcentral describes it as "non-protein coding FLNB-AS1:1". The record is from RNAcentral. Lineage: Eukaryota; Metazoa; Chordata; Mammalia; Primates; Hominidae.